Molecule: long non-coding RNA, 674 nt
Organism: Heterocephalus glaber (naked mole-rat)
Lineage: Eukaryota; Metazoa; Chordata; Mammalia; Rodentia; Bathyergidae
Source: RefSeq, a predicted model, not a curated record
CUCGCAGAUUGCGCGCGACAGCCAAGAGGGGAGAGAAUCCCGCUGAGGAGGAGGUUCGCAAUUAUUGGAAAAGGCCGGGAAAGUUCUGUCUUCCAACCUGCCUCUACUAGGCUAUUCCAGGGCGAACCGACCCCCCUGCGGUCUCUGUAUCUACCCUUUCACAUAGUAGGUACCCAGUACUGUACAAGUUUACUGAUUGGCGGAUGAUUGAAGGCGGAGGGAGUAUUACAGAAAAUAUGGCAUAAUGCAGGAGAGACCAAAGAAAGAUGCAAUCAAGCACUGAAAGUGGACUCAGCUGUUUCAAGAAAUUUGGCAGUCCUGGGUACUUACUAGGUGGCUUACAGGGAUUGAACUCGGGACCUUGUGCAGUAGGCGCCGGAGCCACACUGAGCUAAAUCCCCAGCCCCAAUACUUCUUAAGUUGCUGUAUCUGCCUUUCAGAUUAUUCAGAUUAAAAGCUCUGUGAUGAUACUUGCCUUAUCCAGUAUCAUAUCUCUAGUACCCAGAAAGUGAGUGAAAUGUUUCUCAUGAUCAAUAACUAUUUGGUGAAUUACUACCUUGGCUUCAUGGUGCCUGAGGAGCAUUGCUUAAGAUGGCUGUAUCCAAACUGGAAUACUGGCCUUUUGAUGUUCUUCCACUUCAGAUUCUUUCAUUUUGCACAUAAUUUUUCAGAGC